Molecule: long non-coding RNA, 1634 nt
Organism: Oncorhynchus tshawytscha (Chinook salmon)
Lineage: Eukaryota; Metazoa; Chordata; Actinopteri; Salmoniformes; Salmonidae
Source: Ensembl
GGCAUUCUCUGGAUUUAUGGUGCUUUAGACACAACUGGGAACUCAGGAAAAAAAUGAUGACGUCAGUGAUCUUCAGGUCGUAGCUGUAGAAAGAGGCCCGAGUUCCCAAUUUACAAUUCCGAGUUGGAUGAAAGUUCAAAAUGUAUUUUCCCAGUCGUAGCUUGCUUUUCCCUGAGUUCCCAGUUGUCUUGAACUCACUCAAGUCAGAUUUUGCAGUACCGAGUUAAGUUGAUUUGAGCGCGGCACAAAUCAAGCUUCAUUGACAGCAUGGCCAAUGUUGAAUGUUUACAAUUUUAAACUAGGAAAAAAGCCCCUUAAUCUUAGACUUGAGACCACAGAGCCACUCCAAUGAAUAGCAGGCUAAUGAUUGCUUUGCAAUGCUUGCAGUUAGCCACUGAUUCCUUCCAAACCACUCAUUGUUGAAUUUGCAAUUUGUUUUGUAAUGUUUAUGUCCAAUGACCGAUGAGUACCGAUACCUUUUCUCUAUAAUUUCUCAUUAUUUCUCUUCAUAUGACAAAGAUUAAAAAGGAUUUGCCAGUAGAUUGUCGACUUGAUUCAUGAUGAUGACUGCUAGCUCAGAUGUUGAAAGUACGAUGUUGACAUGAUCAGUCCAAUCAAAGCGACUGUAGAAAUAACAUGAUUUGACGUUACUUUAUCUGUGGACAAUGACCUUGAGCCUUCUUGGAUGGGCACUUCUAAUGUAACUCUAUGGCAGCACCCAAGGGGCUUGAAUUUUCAAGUUCUACCCUUAGACUUGGCAGUGAUGUAUUGUCCCCAUGAAUGACAAAACACUGAGCCAAUCACAGCGCUAAGCUCAGUAUUUUCUGCUGGCUUGCCCCACCUCCACAGAAAGCACUGAUCUAGGCUGAAACACCUGCAUUUUGGAGAUGCCUUACUCAAGAAAACCAAAUAGACCAUGUUUGUAUGCGGCUUUAUUAACAAGUCAAUAACAUGUUUUUUUACAUUGUUUGCAAACAGAUACUUUAUUUUCUCACUGUUUUAUUGCUAAAACUGUGGGGCUCAAAACAGGUGGCUCACCUGCCCUGAAUGAUGGGUCUCCACUGAACUUAUCUAGAACACUGCAGUCCGUCUGGGUGUUUAACCUUCCCAAGAUCCCCCAUGUCACCCUGCUCCUCCGUACAUUCCACUGGCUUACAGUUGAAGCUCACAUCCACUACAAGACAAUGGUGUUUACUUACGGUGCAGCAAGAAGAACUGCCCCAUCUCUACCUUCAGGCUCAAACCCUGUAUCCCAACCCGAGCACUCAGUUCUGCCACCUCUGGUCUCAUGGCCGUCCCACUGCUACAGGAGGUCAACCUCUCAGCCCAGUCUAAGCACUUCUCUGUCCUACUGUCAUACUGUCAUAUCUAAUAUGAAGAACUGAAUACAACCAUAAGAACCAUUCAUACUGUCAGAUCUAAUAUGAAGAACUGAAUACUAAAGAGAAGAAGAGGUUGACCAGUACAUAUUCAUGUAACUUUAUUUUUCAUUGGCAGAUCAAUAAAGUUUGCUUCAAUGCAUUAUCCAAACACAUUCAUGAUCAGUAACUAAAAUAACUCAUCUAGUUUUAAAGACAAUUAAUAAACACAUGUAUUCAUUUCAUAAACUGUGUAUCAUUAAAUAAAGUUUAAAA